RNAcentral lists this transfer RNA (71 nucleotides) under Escherichia phage SP15. RNAcentral's name for it is "tRNA-Val". It matches the Rfam family "tRNA". From Rfam's summary of the family: Transfer RNA (tRNA) molecules are approximately 80 nucleotides in length. Their secondary structure includes four short double-helical elements and three loops (D, anti-codon, and T loops). Lineage: Duplodnaviria; Heunggongvirae; Uroviricota; Caudoviricetes; Demerecviridae. RNAcentral also lists the same sequence under 1 other name. The record is from RNAcentral.
GCUCGGUUAGUUUAAUGGUAGAACUCCAUCUUUACACGGUGGUUGCAGUGGUUCGAUUCCACUACUGAGUA